AUUGAACGCUGGCGGCGUGCCUAAUACAUGCAAGUCGAACGAAGCUGUUUUAACUGGUGCUUGCACCGACUUAAACAACUGAGUGGCGGACGGGUGAGUAACACGUGGGUAACCUGCCCCAAAGCGGGGGAUAACAUUUGGAAACAGAUGCUAAUACCGCAUAACCACAGAAACCACAUGGUUUCUGUGUCAAAGAUGGUUUCGGCUAUCACUUUGGGAUGGACCCGCGGCGUAUUAGCUAGUUGGUAAGGUAAUGGCUUACCAAGGCAAUGAUACGUAGCCGAACUGAGAGGUUGAUCGGCCACAUUGGGACUGAGACACGGCCCAAACUCCUACGGGAGGCAGCAGUAGGGAAUCUUCCACAAUGGACGAAAGUCUGAUGGAGCAACGCCGCGUGAGUGAAGAAGGUUUUCGGAUCGUAAAACUCUGUUGUCAGAGAAGAACGUGUGCGAGAGUAACUGCUCGUGCAGUGACGGUAUCUGGCCAGAAAGCCACGGCUAACUACGUGCCAGCCGCCGCAGUAA
RNAcentral lists this ribosomal RNA (524 nucleotides) under uncultured bacterium. RNAcentral describes it as "partial 16S ribosomal RNA". It matches the Rfam family "Bacterial small subunit ribosomal RNA", at positions 30 to 523 of the family's 1533-position model. The record is from RNAcentral.